RNAcentral lists this ribosomal RNA (153 nucleotides) under uncultured bacterium. RNAcentral describes it as "partial 16S ribosomal RNA". It matches the Rfam family "Bacterial small subunit ribosomal RNA", at positions 334 to 487 of the family's 1533-position model. The record is from RNAcentral.
UACUCCUACGGGAGGCAGAGUGGGGAAUCUCCGCAAUGGGCGAAAGCCUGAUCCAGCAACGCCGCGUGAGUGAAGAAGGCCUUCGGGUUGUAAAGCUCUUCGCGGGGAAGAACUCGUCGGGCUAAUAUGCGGCAGCGAUGACGUACGCAGAGA